AGGUUGUCAGCAAGAUGAAAAGGACAAGUAUGCAGUUCAAAAUUCAAAAUGUGUAUAAGCUGAGGUUCAAGGUCCUACCUUUGCAGAUUUUCAUAUUUUGCAUGAAUGAAUUCAAAGGUUAUAUGAUGGACGGCAGAGAAAAGAAAAAAAAAACACUUUUCAAUUAUCCUGCUCCUGAAGGAUAAAUGUAAAACAUCUUGUUUUCGGUAAGUUUUAUGCUCUGUUUUGAUAGUGUUAGUGCAUUCAUCUGUCCAGUCUUUCCUCUAAAUUGUAUCCUCUUUUAAGUUUUUGGUGAGUGUUCACCAUGAAUUUCAGUAAGUAACUUGUGGAUUUACAUGUAUAUACUCAAAAUUUAGUACUAAUAUUAAUGGGAUUUUAGCAUGACAUCCUGUCAAAUGCUUGUUAAUCAUGUUUAUGUUCCAGAACAUACAAGUAUUUGGACUGUACUACAGCCCAAUUUUAAGAAGUUGGUCAAGUUUAUUAGAAACAAAUGUACAGUACAGAUCAACAUAACUGAAAUCUUUAAUAGAUAAAUACAAAAAGUUUAAUUGCAGUUGAAAUAAAAACACAGGUUUGGUCGAGCUGGUACUAGACAGUACAAGUAUACUCAAAUGGUCUGACUGUACACAUAUGGUGGGACUGUAAGUUCUUAGGUAUACUUUUAUGUUCUGGACCGUUAACGUAAGGUCCAAAUACUGAUAUGGUCUGGAACAUUUAUACAUGUCUUAAAAUUAAUAUCAAACACAUUGGUGUUUUUGAACUUGGUAAUAAGUUAUUCAAUAGAACUAUAAUGUUUUGAGAUUAUCAAAAUCAAAAAUAUCCCAUUUUUACUUUUAAUAAAGAAGAAGAUUAUUGAUGUAUGUAUAAAUGUAUAUUAAAAUGAGACAGCAAGCCAACAACACAAAAAAUAAGGAUAAAACAAUAUAAUUUUUUUUGUAUCAAUGUUAUAAUUUCCAAUAUGUUACAAAGAGUUCAAGGUAUUUUUUCAUUGAAAUAAAACACAAAUUGAAAUCUGUCAAAAGCUUAAAGAAAUAUUGUUUCUGUUGUCUGCAUUUUGUAUAAUAUAUUGCAAAUUCUUGUGAAUAAUGGAAUGUUAUUAUAGUUGUCUAAAGUUUUAACAUUGAUCUUUAAACUGUAAAUUCAUAAAUUAUUGCGUGCAUUUAUUAUUUCGAUUCUGUCAUUUUAGACUUAAAUGCGAUUUUAAAUUUUACGAUUUUGAGAAAAUCCUGUUUAAUCCAUAUACAAUAUUUCAUAAUGCGAGUUUAAAUUAUUGCGUUUACAACUCUUUUGCAUUUUUCGCAAUAAAAAAAACCUCACAUUAAUUUCUGAAUUUACAGUAUAUAUAUUAUGUAUAUAACUUUGGAAAAUACCCAAAUGUUAUAAAGAAGAAGAAAUUAAUCGAUUGUUAUAUAGUAUUAGAAUAGGAAGAUGUGGUAUAUUGCUAAUUUGACAAUCCUCCAUCAGAGACCAAAGAAUGUAGGAGGUUAGCAACUGAUGACACUGGACAAUCUUGAACAAUCAGUAAAAUCCAUACUGCAUAGCUAUUUUUAUUGAAAAUCAUAUUAUUGCUACAUGUAUGCAAACAAUUUUGUAUAAUACAUUACUUUAGAUUUUAUUGGUUCUUUUUCAGAAGGAUUGAAAUUCACCACCUAAAAUAAAUGGAGAAAACAUAGAAACAAGACCAGAAUAAAUUCAAAGACAAAAGUUGGAUCAGUUAUUAUUUUCAUCACUCAGUCAAUGAUUUGAAGUUCUUUUAAAUAUAAAAAAAUAUUGAAACCACAAUAAUGUCAAAGUUCUGUGCUGGAUGACCAAAAAGUGGACUAUACCAUCAAACAAUGCUGGAUGAUAAGAAACUAUUAAUGUUUUGUGUGGAGGGA
This 1877-nucleotide long non-coding RNA is filed under the name Mytilus galloprovincialis (Mediterranean mussel). The record is from RNAcentral. Lineage: Eukaryota; Metazoa; Mollusca; Bivalvia; Mytilida; Mytilidae.